This 918-nucleotide ribosomal RNA is filed under the name uncultured bacterium. RNAcentral's name for it is "bacterial SSU rRNA". It matches the Rfam family "Bacterial small subunit ribosomal RNA", at positions 9 to 916 of the family's 1533-position model. The record is from RNAcentral.
GAGUUGAUCCUGGCUCAGAUUGAACGCUGGCGGUAUGNUAACACAUGCAAGUCGAACGGUAACAGAGAGAAGCUUGCUUCUUUGCUGACGAGUGGCGGACGGGUGAGUAACGCGUGGGAAUCUACCCAGUAGUUGGGGAUAGCCCGGAGGAAUCCGGAUUAAUACCGAAUACGGUCUACGGGCGAAAAGGUGCCUCUUCUUGAAAGCACUUGCUACUGGAUGAGCCCGCGUUAGAUUAGUUUGUUGGUGGGGUAACGGCCUACCAAGACUGUGAUCUAUAGCUGGUUUGAGAGGAUGAUCAGCCACAUUGGGACUGAGACACGGCCCAGACUCCUACGGGAGGCAGCAGUGGGGAAUAUUGGACAAUGGGCGCAAGCCUGGUCCAGCAAUACCGCGUGUGUGAAGAAGGCCUUAGGGUUGUAAAGCACUUUUAUGUAGGAAGAACGGUUGUGAGUUAAUAGCUCAUGACUUUGACGGUACUACAAGAAUAAGCACCGGCUAACUCCGUGCCAGCAGCCGCGGUAAUACGGAGGGUGCGAGCGUUAAUCGGAAUUACUGGGCGUAAAGGGUACGUAGGCGGCUUAAUAAGUCAGAUGUGAAAUCCCCGGGCUUAACCUGGGAACUGCAUUUGAAACUGUUUAGCUAGAGUGAGUGAGAGGUUAGUGGAAUUCAAGGCGUAGCGGUGAAAUGCGUAGAGGUCUUGAGGAACAUCAGUGGCGAAGGCGACUAACUGGCACUACACUGACGCUGAGGUACGAAAGCGUGGGGAGCGAACAGGAUUAGAUACCCUGGUAGUCCACGCCCUAAACGAUGAGGACUGGCUGUUGGCGCUAUAGACGCGUCGGUAGCGAAGCUAACGCGUUAAGUUCUCCGCCUGGGGAGUACGACCGCAAGGUUGAAACUCAAAGGAAUUGACGG